RNAcentral lists this ribosomal RNA (563 nucleotides) under uncultured archaeon. Its description in RNAcentral is "bacterial SSU rRNA". It matches the Rfam family "Archaeal small subunit ribosomal RNA", at positions 309 to 871 of the family's 1478-position model. The record is from RNAcentral.
GAAUUCACUAGUGAUUACGGGGUGCAGCAGGCGCGAAACCUUUACACUGCACGACAGUGCGAUAAGGGAAUCCCAAGUGCGUAGGCAUAGAGCCUACGCUUUUGUCCACCGUAGGGAGGUGGACGAAUAAGGGCUGGGCAAGACCGGUGCCAGCCGCCGCGGUAAUACCGGCAGCCCGAGUGAUGACCGAUCUUAUUGGGCCUAAAGCGUCCGUAGCUGGCCGCACAAGUCCAUCGGAAAAUCCACCCGCUCAACGGGUGGGCGUCCGGUGGAAACUGUGUGGCUCGGGACCGGAAGGCGCGACGGGUACGUCCGGGGUAGGAGUGAAAUCCUGUAAUCCUGGACGGACCGCCGAUGGCGAAAGCACGUCGCGAAGACGGAUCCGACAGUGAGGGACGAAAGCUAGGGUCUCGAACCGGAUUAGAUACCCGGGUAGUCCUAGCCGUAAACAAUGCCUGCUAGGUGUGGCUCCCACUACGAGUGGGUGCUGUGCCGUAGGGAAGCCGCUAAGCAGGCCGCCUGGGAAGUACGUCCGCAAGGAUGAAACUUAAAGGAAUUGGCGA